UGAGGAAUAUUGGGCAAUGGGCGCAAGCCUGACCCAGCCAUGCCGCGUGCAGGAUGACGGCGCUAUGCGUUGUAAACUGCUUUUGUACAGGAAGAAACCCAUCUACGUGUAGGUGGUUGACGGUACUGUCAGAAUAAGCAUCGGCUAACUCCGUGCCAGCAGCCGCGGUAAUACGGAGGAUGCAAGCGUUAUCCGGAUUCAUUGGGUUUAAAGGGUGCGUAGGCGGAAUGCUAAGUCAGUGGUGAAAUCCUGCAGCUUAACUGUAGAACUGUCAUUGAUACUGGUAUUCUUGAAUGCAGUUGAGGUAGGCGGAAUGUGUAAUGUAGCGGUGAAAUGCUUAGAUAUUACCCAGAACACCGAUUGCGAAGGCAGCUUACUAAACUGUGAUUGACGCUGAGGC
Molecule: ribosomal RNA, 400 nt
Filed under: uncultured bacterium
Lineage: Bacteria
Description: bacterial SSU rRNA
Rfam family: Bacterial small subunit ribosomal RNA
Source: RNAcentral